CUAACCUGUUGUAAGCCCGCAGCUUUGGGCCUGGUCUCUGCUGCUCCCAGGCGGCCCCUUUGGGUACUGCCUGAGCAAGAAGUGCUGGAGAGGAGGACCAGUCAUCAAUAGGAGGAUGAGAUUGGGAGAGACACUCGGUGCAGGAGGCUGAGUGAGCAGGGGAGCACUAAGACCCAGGGGUAGUGGAGGACUGCAGCAACGAGCUGGAGGAGGAGAAGGAAGGCCCGGCGACUGAAGCAGGCAAAGGAGGAGGCACAGAUGGAGGUGGAGCAAUACCGCAGAGAGCGAGAGCACGAAUUCCAGAGCAAGCAGCAGGCGGCCAUGGGCUCCCAGGGGAACCUGUCUGCUGAGGUGGAGCAGGCUACAAGGCGCCAGGUGCAGGGCAUGCAGAGCUCCCAGCAGAGAAACCGAGAGCGUGUCCUGGCCCAGCUUCUUGGCAUGGUCUGCGACGUCAGGCCCCAGGUCCACCCCAACUACCGGAUU
RNAcentral lists this unclassified non-coding RNA (483 nucleotides) under Homo sapiens (human). RNAcentral describes it as "ATPase H+ transporting V1 subunit G2 (multiple genes)". The record is from RNAcentral. Lineage: Eukaryota; Metazoa; Chordata; Mammalia; Primates; Hominidae.